GGGGCGUUAGCUCAGUUGGCUAGAGCACCUGCUUUGCAAGUAGGGGGUCCGGGGUUCGAGUCCCCGACGCUCCACCA
RNAcentral lists this transfer RNA (77 nucleotides) under bacterium. RNAcentral describes it as "tRNA-Ala". It matches the Rfam family "tRNA". From Rfam's summary of the family: Transfer RNA (tRNA) molecules are approximately 80 nucleotides in length. Their secondary structure includes four short double-helical elements and three loops (D, anti-codon, and T loops). The record is from RNAcentral.